CUUAGUAUGUCACUGGUUGCCCCUAUUGCUUUAUAUGGACUAUAUGACAAACAGAAAUGGGAAUUUACAGAGAGGCUUGUGAGGGGCGGGGCCUGAUUGCUAAGAUGGCCAGACGCAUCUUUGGAGAGCUCCAGCACUGCUGAGCUUAAUUUGGGCUAAAACGGCUCAAAAUCGUGAUACUCGAAGUCAACUGAGCAUUGCAGAUGGACCUAGUGGGAAUCUGUGGAUCCAUGAUUUAAACGACUUAUCUAUGCUAACCCACGGUCCACUCAUGAGGCCUAGCAUGGUAGGUGACUUGGAGGCUGGAGGAAGCGGACGAUCUCCCACCACAGGGUCCCCUCCAAGCGGCAAAUAAUAAUCAGAGGGGUUGGAGCUCCUGUGCUGGAAGAAGCGCUUCGAGGCACGCUUCGAUCAAAUCUGCCAGGCGUUCUGGGGACACCUAUAUUACAGACACACCUCGUAUAUCUCACCCAUCGGGGGUUCACCAACCCAACUCCGGGAAGGCGCAAAUACCUCGCUGCCCGGGCAGGGUGAAGAACCGGAGGCGGAGGCCACGACAUCUACCAUCCCGCAAACAACCUGUGCAGCAGCCCCGAUACCAAGCUCCAGCUCAGUAUUUCAGGAAGGCCAUGAUUGCAAGCACAGCCAGAGGGGCCCCGCUCAGCAAGGUCAGAGGCCGGCAACGAGAAGAGCCUGGAGAUAUACCCUACGGAUGGAUGCAGCAGACCCUCCGGAGACACGAAUGAGGAGAGCACCACCGCAUGGAGCUGGAGGAGUAACCCCUCAAGUUUAAAGGAACUUCUGAGUCUCCAGAUUGCUGGCCCUCCUCUCAGGGGCAUAGGCUGAACAACUGCACUAAACCUCUAGCAUGCCCUAUCUUGAACCUUUGCAUCUCACUGUUAUCAUAUAUCUUUCAGUGGGCAGAUGUUUUGUUUUAUCUGUAUAGCAGCUUUACUUAUUUUCACGUUAGACAUGUCCGCUUGGUAUUUAGAUGUUUAGCUCUUAGCUUAUCCCUAAAAAUUAGACAGGUCUGCCUAGCUUGUCACUUAGAACAAACAUGAUAUCUCAACUAUAUAUUUUAGUCUACUCAUAUAGUCAGUUAGCACCACACGGUAUUUCUCUAUGUUUAUUGCUGACAUAUCCUGCCUACUCAUGUUAUAUUACAAAACUGUGCAUGUGCUCUUGGGAAAAAACAAAAAAACACGCAGUCUUGACAGCGUAGAUACUGCUCAUCUACUGUUAUCAUCCUGUGGUUAGUGCAGGGAUUCCUGUUCUCCCCCUUAUCUUUUUCAAUUCAGACCAGUACCCAGUGGCAUUACAACUAAAUUGUUUACUAUGAUCGUUCAACAUGUUUUAAUUAUUAGUUAGCCCAUAGUAUCAACUCAUGUUUUAUCUUGCUUAUUAUUAGAAAAAGUGCAAUAUUUUUCUUUGACAUUUUCUACCAAAUCUAUAUCCACUACUAUUGUACAUGCUUCUGCAGAAAUGUCUAUGCAAGCUUUGAAUGUAUACCAAUGUGC
This is a non-coding RNA of Pelobates cultripes (western spadefoot toad), 1517 nucleotides long. The record is from the annotation of a GenBank genome assembly. Lineage: Eukaryota; Metazoa; Chordata; Amphibia; Anura; Pelobatidae.